GAUGAACGCUGGCGGCGUGCCUAAUACAUGCAAGUCGAGCGAACAGAUGAGGAGCUUGCUCCUCUGACGUUAGCGGCGGACGGGUGAGUAACACGUGGAUAACCUACCUAUAAGACUGGGAUAACUUCGGGAAACCGGAGCUAAUACCGGAUAAUAUAUUGAACCGCAUGGUUCAAUAGUGAAAGACGGUUUUGCUGUCACUUAUAGAUGGAUCCGCGCCGCAUUGGCUAGUUGGUAAGGUAACGGCUUACCAAGGCAACGAUGCGUAGCCGACCUGCGAGGGUGAUCGGCCACACUGGAACUGAGACACGGUCCAGACUCCUACGGGAGGCAGCAGUAGGGAAUCUUCCGCAAUGGGCGAAAGCCUGACGGAGCAACGCCGCGUGAGUGAUGAAGGUCUUCGGAUCGUAAAACUCUGUUAUUAGGGAAGAACAAAUGUGUAAGUAACUAUGCACGUCUUGACGGUACCUAAUCAGAAAGCCACGGCUAACUACGUG
Molecule: ribosomal RNA, 497 nt
Filed under: uncultured bacterium
Lineage: Bacteria
Description: partial 16S ribosomal RNA
Rfam family: Bacterial small subunit ribosomal RNA
Source: RNAcentral